UGCCAGCAGCCGCGGUAAUACGUAGGGUGCUAGCGUUGCUCGGAAUUAUUGGGCGUAAAGCGCGUGUAGGUUGUUUUGUAAGUCGGAUGUGAAAGCCCCGGGCUCAACCCGGGAAGUGCAUUCGAAACUACAUGACUAGAGGAGAGUAGAGGAUGGUGGAAUUCCAGGUGUAGAGGUGAAAUUCGUAGAUAUCUGGAGGAAUACCGGCGGCGAAGGCGGCCAUCUGGGCUCUCCCUGACACUGAGACGCGAAAGCGUGGGUAGCAAACAGGAUUAGAUA
This 279-nucleotide ribosomal RNA is filed under the name uncultured bacterium. RNAcentral's name for it is "partial 16S ribosomal RNA". It matches the Rfam family "Bacterial small subunit ribosomal RNA", at positions 506 to 784 of the family's 1533-position model. The record is from RNAcentral.